UACGUAGGGUGCGAGCGUUAAUCGGAAUUACUGGGCGUAAAGCGUGCGCAGGCGGCUUUGCAAGACAGAUGUGAAAUCCCCGGGCUCAACCUGGGAACUGCAUUUGUGACUGCAUGGCUAGAGUACGGUAGAGGGGGAUGGAAUUCCGCGUGUAGCAGUGAAAUGCGUAGAUAUGCGGAGGAACACCGAUGGCGAAGGCAAUCCCCUGGACCUGUACUGACGCUCAUGCACGAAAGCGUGGGGAGCAAACAGG
This 253-nucleotide ribosomal RNA is filed under the name uncultured bacterium. RNAcentral describes it as "partial 16S ribosomal RNA". It matches the Rfam family "Bacterial small subunit ribosomal RNA", at positions 524 to 776 of the family's 1533-position model. The record is from RNAcentral.